RNAcentral lists this long non-coding RNA (1493 nucleotides) under Homo sapiens (human). RNAcentral describes it as "HSALNT0347238". Lineage: Eukaryota; Metazoa; Chordata; Mammalia; Primates; Hominidae. The record is from RNAcentral.
CCUGGAUCAUAGCAGACUCUGCCUAUAGAGGCCUGGGGUCCCUUUGGCAGCACUUUUCUCAAGAAAGUAGAGUCGUGGACAACCAACUGCACAGGUUGGGAGGUGGCACUGUCUGGUGACAAGAACCCCAUGGGGUUGGAAACUUCUGCAUGUGAUAAAAGUGGCUGUUGUGCUCGUUGCGUCAUCUUUCUUGGCCUGAAGAAAGGCUUUGAAGAACAAGCUGCCAUGAAUCCUGCAGCUACAAGGAAAUGAACUCUAUUAACUUGAGUGAGCUUAAAACUAGAUCCUUCCCCAGUCAAGCCUCCAGGUGAGAAUUCAAUCCUGGCUGGCACCUGGAUUGCAGCUUACAGAAGACCCAGCUAAGGCCAUGUCUGGACUUUAAAUCCACAGGAACUGCAAGAUGGUAUCAGAAGUGGGACCUGCAGUGGGGCAUCUAGCAACCCCCAGGAGCAUUGAGUGACCAGGCUUGGGACCCACCGGGCGCAGGGUGUCCAUUGUUCUCUCGAAGCAACUGAGAAUUGUGGAUAUUCUUCAUUAUUCCAUCAUCAUCUCAAACCUCUUGGGUAUAGUGUUUGACUACUACUGUGACCAUAAAUUCCAAUAAAACCUAGGAAAAAUGAAACCACUACAUUAACUGAAAGGGAAGGAUUUGACAGCUUCUUUUGGGCAUAUCAGAAUCGCCAGCAUCACUACUCUUGCACUGUGCGGCCAUUAUUAAGUGAAAUAAGGAUUACUUGAACACAAGCACUGCAAUGCCGCUACAGUCAAUGUGAUAACCCAGCUGGUGACUAAGUGACCAAGGACGGGGAGUAUCUACAGCGGGGAGACUCUGGAAAAAGGGAGGAUUCACAUCCAGUGCCACUGGGGCAGGGCAGAAUGAGAGUUCAUCAUGCUACAAAGAAUGGCACAGAAUAUACGACUUGUGAGUGGAUUAUCUCUGGAAUUUUCUGUUGACUACAUUUGUACUACAGUUGUAUGUGGGUAACAAACUGUGGAAAGUGAAACUUCGGGUAAGGGGGAGGCUACCGUAGAUAGCCCAGUAUUUCUUAUUUUGUGGAUUUGUUUAUCUUUCUGCUCACAUCCUUUUCCUUCUGCAUUACCAUUUUAGUAAAAAUAGAUAGCAUCCAUUUGGUGUUUAGUAUGUUUUUGGCACAGUCGAACAUUUUACAAACAUUAUAUCAUUUAAUCUGCAUAAAACCUAUACAGUAGGUACAACUAUUAUCCAGUUUUUUAGACAAGGCAAACUGGAUCACAGGGAGUUCAAAACGCCUCUUCCCUUGGUCAAGUUGGGUCAUGUAAUUGUCAAAGUUAAAACAUGCCCCUUAGGAGAUGAUUUAAAAUUCCCUAAUUUUUUAGAAGAAUCUUCAGUUUUCCCAGGAUAGAACAUUUAUUGAUAUGGUAAAUAUGUGGAAAGACCCACCAACCCCACUCCAAUCUUACAUUCUUGCCAUUAAAAAACAAACAUAAAGACUGUUCCCUAUGUUUUUUUCUUU